AGCGAACGCUGGCGGCAGGCCUAACACAUGCAAGUCGAACGAACCUGUCGUGCUUAUUGGCGGACGUGUGGGGACCACGGGGGAAGUUGCCUGUGAGUUCGGUGUAACUCAGGUAAGGUUGUCUUCAGACCAAAUGUGCUCUUUCGGGGUAAGAUUAAUCGCCUUUUGAUUGGCGCUGGUCUGUUUAGCUAGUUGGUUGAGGUAAUGGCGCACCUAGGCGUCGAUGAGUAGCUGGGCGGUGAGGAGGAUCAGCCACAUUGGGGCUGAGACACGGCCCAAACUGCUACGGGAGGCAGAAGUGGGGAAUAUUGCGGAAGGGGCGAAAGCGUGACGAAGCCAUGCCGGGUGAAUGAUGAAGGGCUUAGGAUUGUAAAAUUCUUUGUCAGGAGACGAUAAUGACGGUACCGGGAGAAGAAGCACCGGCUAACUACGUG
RNAcentral lists this ribosomal RNA (434 nucleotides) under uncultured bacterium. Its description in RNAcentral is "partial 16S ribosomal RNA". It matches the Rfam family "Bacterial small subunit ribosomal RNA", at positions 29 to 507 of the family's 1533-position model. The record is from RNAcentral.